AUGGCUUGUAUUCUUGUUGGCCCUUUUGUAUAAUGGUGUUGGAUGGCAGUCUUCUGGGAAUUUAAAGCUUGACAGAAAAUGCUGAACAGGAAGAGAACARGGCUAGAGGAAACAAGUGAUCCAGUUUACAACAUGGCUUUUGAAACAUCUGCAUUGGUACCACUGGGGGAGUGGUAAGAAUGGCUGGUGGGAGAAUAGAUAACAUCUUUAACCAGUUUUGCUGAUGAAGAGAGCAUUAUGGAAUUACACUCUGACAUAUGAAAAUGAGCCAGUGAAGCUGUACCUUUUUGAUAGCCAUCCCAGAAGUUGGGAAGUCAUACUAAGAAUAUCAUCACUCCAUAAGAAAAGGAUCAACACAAAAAGCCUCUGCACUGCGUAUUUGGUAAGCAUAAAUCUAAAAGUAUUUUCAAAAUAAUCAAGCUACAGAAAGCAGACAUUUCAAAUUUUACUUGCCUCAGCUACAACAAAUCUACAAAUAUGCACAUUAAGGAAAUAUUUGGAGUUUUCAAAAGAAAUGGAAUACUUCUUGAUAAGGGAAAUGAUGGAGUAAAACUGCAGAAAUCUUUGUUCUG
This 572-nucleotide long non-coding RNA is filed under the name Dromaius novaehollandiae (emu). RNAcentral's name for it is "lncRNA (ENSDNVG00000008072.1)". Lineage: Eukaryota; Metazoa; Chordata; Aves; Casuariiformes; Dromaiidae. The record is from RNAcentral.